UACGUAGGUCCCGAGCGUUGUCCGGAUUUAUUGGGCGUACAGCGAGCGCAGGUGGUUUAUUAAGUCUGGUGUAAAAGGCAGUGGCUCAACCAUUGUAUGCAUUGGAAACUGGUAGACUUGAGUGCAGGAGAGGAGAGUGGAAUUCCAUGUGUAGCGGUGAAAUGCGUAGAUAUAUGGAGGAACACCGGUGGCGAAAGCGGCUCUCUGGCCUGUAACUGACACUGAGGCUCGAAAGCGUGGGGAGCAAACAGG
RNAcentral lists this ribosomal RNA (252 nucleotides) under uncultured bacterium. RNAcentral's name for it is "partial 16S ribosomal RNA". It matches the Rfam family "Bacterial small subunit ribosomal RNA", at positions 524 to 776 of the family's 1533-position model. The record is from RNAcentral.